Molecule: ribosomal RNA, 104 nt
Filed under: Aerococcus mictus
Lineage: Bacteria; Bacillati; Bacillota; Bacilli; Lactobacillales; Aerococcaceae
Source: RNAcentral
GCAAGAAGGACCCACCUGUAUCCAUCCCGAACACAGCAGUUAAGCUUCUUAGCGCCGAAUGUAGUUGGGGGUUGCCCCCCCGUGAGACUAGGACGUUGCCGUGC